GGAGCGGCCGAUGGCGGAUUAGCUAGUUGGUAGGGUAAAGGCCUACCAAGGCGACGACCCGUAGCUGGUCUGAGAGGACGACCAGCCACACUGGAACUGAGACACGGUCCAGACUCCUACGGGAGGCAGCAGUGGGGAAUUUUGGACAAUGGGCGAAAGCCUGAUCCAGCCAUGCCGCGUGAGUGAAGAAGGCCUUCGGGUUGUAAAGCUCUUUCAGCCGGAAAGAAAGCGCAUGGGUGAAUAACCUGUGUGGAUGACGGUACCGGAAGAAGAAGCACCGGCUAACUACGUGCCAGCAGCCGCGGUAAUACGUAGGGUGCGAGCGUUAAUCGGAAUUACUGGGCGUAAAGCGUGCGCAGGCGGUUUUGUAAGACAGAUGUGAAAUCCCCGGGCUUAACCUGGGAACUGCAUUUGUGACUGCAAGGCUAGAGUACGGCAGAGGGGGGUAGAAUUCCACGUGUAGCAGUGAAAUGCGUAGAUAUGUGGAGGAAUACCGAUGGCGAAGGCAGCCCCCUGGGUCGAUACUGACGCUCAUGCACGAAAGCGUGGGGGGCAAACAGGAUUAGAUACCCUGCUAGUCCACGCCCUAAACGAUGUCAACUAGGUGUUGGGGGGGGGAGACUUCCUUAGUACCGCAGCUAACGCGUGAAGUUGACCGCCUGGGGAGUACGGUCGCAAGA
Molecule: ribosomal RNA, 680 nt
Filed under: uncultured bacterium
Lineage: Bacteria
Description: bacterial SSU rRNA
Rfam family: Bacterial small subunit ribosomal RNA
Source: RNAcentral